Egretta garzetta (little egret) is the source of this 128-nucleotide long non-coding RNA. RefSeq lists it as uncharacterized. The record is from RefSeq and is a predicted model, not a curated record. NCBI's taxonomy places the organism in Eukaryota, Metazoa, Chordata, Aves, Pelecaniformes, Ardeidae. The transcript has 3 exons.
CAGUAGGUGGGGAGAGAAGAGAAGUGAGAGGAUGUGAGAGUAAACAGCCCUACAGACACCAAGGUCAGUGCAGAAGGAUGGGGAGAAGGUGCUCCGGGUGCCAGAGCAGAGAUUCCCCUGCAGCCCAU